This is a long non-coding RNA of Sapajus apella (tufted capuchin), 103 nucleotides long. RefSeq lists it as uncharacterized. The record is from RefSeq and is a predicted model, not a curated record. Lineage: Eukaryota; Metazoa; Chordata; Mammalia; Primates; Cebidae. The transcript is spliced from 3 exons.
GAAUUGUGAAUCCAUUAAAUCUCUUUCCUUUAUAAAUUACCCAGUCUCAGUAUGUCUUUUUUAGCCACAUGAAAACAGACUAAUACAUCUAUCAUUACUCUGA